UAAUGUAUGGGGAUCUGCCCGAUAGAGGGGGAUAACUACUGGAAACGGUGGCUAAUACCGCAUAAUGUCUACGGGCCAAAGCAGGGGCUCUUCGGACCUUGCACUAUCGGAUGAACCCAUAUGGGAUUAGCUAGUAGGUGGGGUAAAGGCUCACCUAGGCGACGAUCUCUAGCUGGUCUGAGAGGAUGAUCAGCCACACUGGGACUGAGACACGGCCCAG
This 220-nucleotide ribosomal RNA is filed under the name uncultured bacterium. RNAcentral's name for it is "partial 16S ribosomal RNA". It matches the Rfam family "Bacterial small subunit ribosomal RNA", at positions 111 to 334 of the family's 1533-position model. The record is from RNAcentral.